Molecule: ribosomal RNA, 433 nt
Filed under: uncultured bacterium
Lineage: Bacteria
Description: partial 16S ribosomal RNA
Rfam family: Bacterial small subunit ribosomal RNA
Source: RNAcentral
AGCGAACGCUGGCGGCAGGCUUAACACAUGCAAGUCGAGCGGGCACUUCGGUGUCAGCGGCAGACGGGUGAGUAACACGUGGGAACGUACCCUUCGGUUCGGAAUAACGCUGGGAAACUAGCGCUAAUACCGGAUACGCCCUUUUGGGGAAAGGUUUACUGCCGAAGGAUCGGCCCGCGUCUGAUUAGCUAGUUGGUGGGGUAAUGGCCUACCAAGGCGACGAUCAGUAGCUGGUCUGAGGGGAUGAUCAGCCACACUGGGACUGAGACACGGCCCAGACUCCUACGGGAGGCAGCAGUGGGGAAUAUUGGACAAUGGGAGCAAGCCUGAUCCAGCCAUGCCGCGUGAGUGAUGAAGGCCUUAGGGUUGUAAAGCUCUUUUGUCCGGGACGAUAAUGACGGUACCGGAAGAAUAAGCCCCGGCUAACUUCGUG